RNAcentral lists this ribosomal RNA (399 nucleotides) under uncultured bacterium. RNAcentral's name for it is "bacterial SSU rRNA". It matches the Rfam family "Bacterial small subunit ribosomal RNA", at positions 359 to 776 of the family's 1533-position model. The record is from RNAcentral.
GAAUUUUGCGCAAUGGGCGAAAGCCUGACGCAGCAACGCCGCGUGAAGGAUGAAGGCUUUCGAGUCGUAAACUUCUGUCUGGGGGAAAGAUGAUGACGGUACCCCCAAAGCAAGCCCCGGCUAAUUCCGUGCCAGCAGCCGCGGUAAUACGGAAGGGGCGAGCGUUGUUCAGAAUUAUUGGGCGUAAAGGGCGUGUAGGCGGCUUCAUAUGUCCGUGGUGAAAGCAUACGGCUCAACCGUAUUAAGCCUUGGAAACUGUGGAGCUUGAGACUGGGAGGGGCUGGUGGAAUUCCCUGUGUAGCGGUGAAAUGCGUAGAGAUGGGGGAGAACACUCGUGGCGAAGGCGGCCAGCUGGACCAGUACUGACGCUGAGACGCGAAAGCGUGGGGAGCAAACAGG